Molecule: long non-coding RNA, 2562 nt
Organism: Oncorhynchus tshawytscha (Chinook salmon)
Lineage: Eukaryota; Metazoa; Chordata; Actinopteri; Salmoniformes; Salmonidae
Source: Ensembl
CAAUGAAGUGUUUCUACUACAUUGGAUUUACCAUCUGUUUAUUAUGAGGCAGGCAAAAACUGACAUAGACACAUAUAGUGAAAUCAUCAAAUCAAAUGUCAAAACUUAAUUAUGUGAUUACUGAUCAUAAUAUGUGAUGGUUAUAAUGAUAGUUAGAACAUACAUGUGAUGGUUAUAAUGAUAGAACAUACAUGUGAUGGUUAUAAUGAUAGUUAGAACAUGCAUGUGAUGGUUAUAAUGAUAGAACAUACAUGUGAUGGUUAUAAUGAUAGAACAUACAUGUGAUGGUUAUAAUGAUAGAACAUACAUGUGAUGGUUAUAAUGAUAGAACAUACAUGUGAUGGUUAUAAUGAUAGAACCUACAUGUGAUGGUUAUAAUGAUAGUUAGAACAUACAUGUGAUGGUUAUAAUUGUUACGGCUUCCGUCGAAGGAGAGUCGGACCAAAAUGCAGCGUGGUUAAAUCGAGACAUCUUUAAUAACGAUGAAAACGAACAAUACAAAAACAACAAACGGAAAUGUGAAAACCUAUACAGCCUGUCUGGUGAAUACCAACACACUGAGACAGGAACAAUCACCCACAAAACACACAGUGAAACCCAGGCUACCUAAAUAUGGUUCCCAAUCAGAGACAACGAGAAUCACCUGACUCUGAUUGAGAACCGCCUCAGGCAGCCAUAGACUAUGCUAGACACCCCUACUCAGCCACAAUCCCAAUACCUACGAAAAAAACCCUAUACAUAAACACAACACAAAAUAAACCCAUGUCACACCCUGGCCUGACCAAAUAAAUAAGAAAAACACAAAAUACUAAGACCAGGGCGUGACAAUAAUGAUAGAACAUACAUGUGAUGGUUAUAAUGAUAGUUAGAACAUACAUGUGAUGGUUAUAAAAUGACAGUGUAGGUACAUAUUGUUACAGUACUUAACCACAAGUGUUACCAUUACAUAGGAUAUCUUUCUAUAGUUUUAUAAAAUGGUUAGUUCUGGCCUGGCAUUAUGAUUAGUUCAAACUAAAAGGUGUUUUCCAUUCAUGCUAUAUAUCACUGUAUUAUAUCAACAACUCUUUAUUAAUAUUACUUAUGAUUAAAACGAAAAGGUUCACAACAAAGUAUUCAGUGAUAAAGUACAUAUGAAUCUCAUCACAGCCUGAAGAGCAGUCAUGCAGUCACAGUCAGACAAGUGUCUCUACUCCUCCAUCAAACCCUAUCUACCCUACAUGCAUGUUCAAAUGGAAAACAGCCAUGUUCCCAUGUUUGUGGAGACUGUGUUCACGGUAAAGGCUGCAUAUAUCCACUCAAUUGGAAAUGUACAUUUCAAUCACACUGUAGUGUGUUUCAAUCGCUCUUUAGUGCUAUGUGUUGAAUGGAGCAAUUAUAUAGGACACAACUAAUAUGUAUACAGUAGGCUGGAAGUGGUGUUGGAGGGCCAGUAGGGGGCACUCUUCCCUCUGGUCUAAGGAGUUCCCAAUGCCCAGGGGCAGUGACAGGGACAUUGCCCUGCAUUAGGUGCAGCCUUUCAGAUGGGACAUUAAACAGAUGUCCUGACUGUGGUCAUUAAACUUCCAUGGCACUUAUUGUAACUGUAAGUGAUUUAACCUUUGUUUCAUGAAUAACUUAUUAUACCCGUCAAUUCCUAAUUGUUUUAUACUGUAUUUCACUCCUCACCUCUACACCAUUAAAGCUGAUGUCUGGUGAGUAUUCUGGCACAAAUGGUUACACCCAUAGUUGUGUACGACUAGAGAUUCAUCCAGGUCAUUUAGCAACAUUUGAGUUUAUGUCUUGUUUGGAAAUGACAUUCUUAUUCUGGAUUGGAUAGAUUUGUAUAACUCUUAUUUCUACUUGUAGGUAUUAAACAUUACCUCCAACAGAGGACUUGUGGAUUGGAUAGAUUUGUAUAACCCUUAUUUCUGCUUGUAGGUAUUAAACACUACCUCCAACAGAGGACUUGUGGAUUGGAUAGAUUUGUAUAACUCUUAUUUCUACUUGUAGGUAUUAAACACUACCUCCAACAGAGGACUUGUGGAAUAACUCUUAUUUCUACUUGUAGGUAUUAAACACUACCUCCAACAGAGGACUUGUGGAUUGGAUAGAUUUGUAUAACUCUUAUUUCUACUUGUAGGUAUUAAACACUACCUCCAACAGAGGACUUGUGGAUUGGAUAGAUUUGUAUAACCCUUAUUUCUACUUGUAGGUAUUAAACACUACCUCCAACAGAGGACUUGUGGAAUAACUCUUACUUCUACUUGUAGGUAUUAAACACGACCUCCAACAGAGGUCUUGUGGAAUAACUCUUAUUUCUACUUGUAGGUAUUAAACACGACCUCCAACAGAGGACUUGUGGAUUGGAUAGAUUUGUAUAACUCUUAUUUCUACUUGUAGGUAUUAAACACUACCUCCAACAGAGGACUUGUGGAUUGGAUAGAUUUGUAUAACCCUUAUUUCUGCUUGUAGGUAUUAAACACGACCUCCAACAGAGGACUUGUGGAUUGGAUAGAUUUGUAUAACUCUUAUUUCUACUUGUAGGUAUUAAACACUACCUCCAACAGAGGACUUGUGGAUUGG